Capsicum annuum is the source of this 156-nucleotide ribosomal RNA. RefSeq annotates it as 5.8S ribosomal RNA. Lineage: Eukaryota; Viridiplantae; Streptophyta; Magnoliopsida; Solanales; Solanaceae. The transcript has a single exon. The record is from RefSeq and is a predicted model, not a curated record.
GACUCUCGGCAAUAGACAUCUCGGCUCUCACAUCGAUAAAGAAUGUAGCAAAAUGUGAUACUUGGUGUGAACUGUAGAAUCUCGUGAAUCGUAGAAUAUUUGAACGCAAGUUGCGCCCAAAGCCAUUAGGCCGUGGACACGUCUCCUUGGGCGUCA